Molecule: ribosomal RNA, 522 nt
Filed under: uncultured bacterium
Lineage: Bacteria
Description: partial 16S ribosomal RNA
Rfam family: Bacterial small subunit ribosomal RNA
Source: RNAcentral
AACGAACGCUGGCGGCGUGCCUAACACAUGCAAGUCGAACGAGAAUAUUCGGGGCAACUCGAAUUAGUAAAGUGGCGCACGGGCGAGUAAUACGUAGGUAACCUGCCUAUCGCUGGGGAAAAACUCCGGGAAACCGAAGCUAAUUCCGCAUACGUUCACCAGGCUAUACGUUUGGUGAAGAAAGGUGGCCUCUUCAUGAAAGCUAUCGGCGAUAGAUGGGCCUGCGCACCAUUAGCUGGUUGGUAGGGUAAUGGCCUACCAAGGCAACGGUGGUUAGCUGAUCUGAGAGGAUGAUCAGCCACACUGGAACUGAGACACGGUCCAGACUCCUACGGGAGGCAGCAGUGGGGAAUAUUGCGCAAUGGGCGAAAGCUUGACGCAGCAACGCCGCGUGAGUGAUGAAGGCCUUCGGGUCGUAAAGCUCUGUCAGAGGGAACGAACACUCCCGCAACUAAUAUUUGCGGGAUUUGACGGUACCCUCAGAGGAAGCACCGGCUAACUCCGUGCCAGCAGCCGCCGUAA